Long non-coding RNA from Amphiprion ocellaris (clown anemonefish), 356 nucleotides. RefSeq lists it as uncharacterized. The transcript is spliced from 3 exons. Lineage: Eukaryota; Metazoa; Chordata; Actinopteri; Pomacentridae. The record is from RefSeq and is a predicted model, not a curated record.
CCUAUGACGAUCUCACACAUCGUCAGAACUGCAACUAACAAUCUGACAUGGAGCUGUGGCCAUAGAGUUCUUCAAAUGGAAAAUUUGAUGUACUCUCUGCUUAGCUGUGCUCUACUUCAUGGCCCAGUCCCCUCUGAUACAGCCUCUGUGGAUUAUAAAAGAGUGUCUGGGGUUCGAUGGCAAAUGGAGCGAGGCGAGAGCUGGCUAGACCCUCUACCCGACACACAAGUACUGUACGCACACACAUGUACGUACACACACAGAAAGACAUACAUACUCUGCCCACUAUCCCCAUCCGGCAACCACAUCCACUGACUACAAACCCAUGCAGAGCAGAGGACUGUACUUUCCCAGAC